UGCUGGUGAUCUGGCUCUGACUUCUCUCACCCAACUGAUAGCCAGAGUUGAUGAGUCUGGUCUGACCGGUGAGGUGGCCGCUUCCUUCUGUCCUCAUUGCUCCCUGUGCAUCUUUGCUGUGUGCUGUGUGUUAGUAGAUAGAGGAGGCAGAGGAGGAGUGUUCCUUAGUCAAGGGUAUCCAAGUAGCUGUGCAACCCUGCUUUUAGUAGACUCUCCAAAGAUGCUUUCAAGGUCCAUUUGUAGGAGAAAGUUGGCAGUCAGGCUUCUGAGCCUCUAGACACAUUUAAAGAAGACGCUGUGAGAGAUACUCAGCAGUU
This 317-nucleotide small nuclear RNA is filed under the name Nannospalax galili (Upper Galilee mountains blind mole rat). RNAcentral describes it as "7SK RNA (ENSNGAG00000002291.1)". It matches the Rfam family "7SK RNA". From Rfam's summary of the family: 7SK was discovered as an abundant small nuclear RNA in the mid-70s but a possible function has only recently been suggested. Two independent studies have found that 7SK RNA binds the CDK9/cyclin T complex (known as elongation factor P-TEFb). The record is from Rfam by way of RNAcentral. Lineage: Eukaryota; Metazoa; Chordata; Mammalia; Rodentia; Spalacidae.